RNAcentral lists this ribosomal RNA (301 nucleotides) under uncultured bacterium. RNAcentral's name for it is "partial 16S ribosomal RNA". It matches the Rfam family "Bacterial small subunit ribosomal RNA", at positions 509 to 807 of the family's 1533-position model. The record is from RNAcentral.
CAGUCGCCGCGGGAAUACGAAGGGUGCAAGCGUUACUCGGAAUUACUGGGCGUAAAGCGUGUGUAGGUGGUUGUUUAAGUCUGUCGUGAAAGCCCUGGGCUCAACCUGGGAAUUGCGAUGGAUACUGGGCGACUAGAGUGCGGUAGAGGAUAGUGGAAUUUCCGGUGUAGCAGUGAAAUGCGUAGAGAUCGGAAGGAACAUCUGUGGCGAAGGCGACUAUCUGGGCCAACACUGACACUGAGACACGAAAGCGUGGGGAGCAAACAGGAUUAGAUACCCGGGUAGUCCCUGUCUCUUAUAC